Molecule: non-coding RNA, 106 nt
Organism: Ricinus communis (castor bean)
Lineage: Eukaryota; Viridiplantae; Streptophyta; Magnoliopsida; Malpighiales; Euphorbiaceae
Source: Rfam
AACUCAUGAUUAGGACACUUCCUCAAAUAUUCCUUAAACCUCUCCCAAGCUUCAUAAAAGGUCUCCCCAUCAUAUUGCUUGAAUUCAGUAUUAUUGUUCCUCAUUU